Molecule: long non-coding RNA, 315 nt
Organism: Mauremys mutica (yellowpond turtle)
Lineage: Eukaryota; Metazoa; Chordata; Testudines; Geoemydidae
Exons: 3
Source: RefSeq, a predicted model, not a curated record
AUAGAUAAGGCAUCUAGUUCUGAAAGUCAACUGGUGGAUGUGAUGGCGACCAAACCAGAUUUUGAUGGAGAGGUAAAAAGGUCUUUUCUUGAGUAACCCAUAAUCUGAUUGAAGGCAUCUUCCAGCAAGUGGUCUCUCCUGAUGAUUAAUCUGCACAGCAAGCGUGGGAAACCUUGCCCUACUUGGACACCACCUGACGAUGGCUGAGGAGCUGAGCAGAGAACCAAAUGAGAAGACAUGGAGAUGAGACUGAAGUGCGCUUUUUAUGGCCUUGCAGCUGACAGGCUGGAUGCAUGCGUGCAAGAUCCUGAAAGA